AUUGAACGCUGGCGGCAUGCCUAACACAUGCAAGUCGUACGAGAGUUUUUAACUCUAGUGGCGGACGGGUGAGUAACACGUGAGAAUUUGCCUUUAGGAGGGGGAUAACAAUUGGAAACGAAUGCUAAUACCCCAUAUGCUUUUGAGUGAAACGGAUUUAUCCGCCUAGAGAGAAGCUCGCGGCUGAUUAGCUUGUUGGUAAGGUAAGAGCUUACCAAGGCGACGAUCAGUAUCUGGUUUGAGAGGACGAUCAGACACACUGGAACUGAGACACGGUCCAGACUCCUACGGGAGGCAGCAGUGGGGAAUUUUCCGCAAUGGGCGAAAGCCUGACGGAGCAAUACCGCGUGACCGGGAAGAAUGCCUAUGGGUUGUAAACCUCUUUUUUCAGGGAGGAAUAAAAUGACGUGUACCUGAAGAAUAAGCAUCGGCUAACUCCGUG
Molecule: ribosomal RNA, 442 nt
Filed under: uncultured bacterium
Lineage: Bacteria
Description: bacterial SSU rRNA
Rfam family: Bacterial small subunit ribosomal RNA
Source: RNAcentral